Molecule: long non-coding RNA, 216 nt
Filed under: Daphnia pulex (common water flea)
Lineage: Eukaryota; Metazoa; Arthropoda; Branchiopoda; Diplostraca; Daphniidae
Description: uncharacterized LOC124204011
Source: RNAcentral
CACCAACCACACCAAACCAACCGCCUUACUAAAUUCAGCACCAUUCACCCAUAUGAUAAAGGAAAUUUACCUCAACCUAAGGAGUAAGGCUUGAUUGCUGUGAUUUCCAUUUUUACGAUUUUUUAUCAUGAAAACUUCAGUGUGCUUGUUAGUAAAGAGAACAUAAUAGAUCCUUAAGCCAAUGCUGACCUUUGUCCGUGAAGGAAGAGGGACAUC